Molecule: transfer RNA, 71 nt
Filed under: Cricetulus griseus (Chinese hamster)
Lineage: Eukaryota; Metazoa; Chordata; Mammalia; Rodentia; Cricetidae
Rfam family: tRNA
About the family: Transfer RNA (tRNA) molecules are approximately 80 nucleotides in length. Their secondary structure includes four short double-helical elements and three loops (D, anti-codon, and T loops).
Source: Rfam by way of RNAcentral
GUGGGUGGCUCAGUGGUUAAGAGCACUGACUGCUCUUCCAGAGGACCCGGGUUCAAUUCCCAGCACCCACA